UACAGAGGAUGCAAGCGUUAUCCGGAAUGAUUGGGCGUAAAGAGCUCGUAGGUGGCCUGUCGCGUCGGCUGUGAAAACUCGGGGCUCAACUCCGAGCUUGCAGUCGAUACGGGCAGGCUAGAGUUCGGCAGGGGAGACUGGAAUUCCUGGUGUAGCGGUGAAAUGCGCAGAUAUCAGGAGGAACACCGGUGGCGAAGGCGGGUCUCUGGGCCGAUACUGACACUGAGGAGCGAAAGCGUGGGGAGCGAACAGG
Molecule: ribosomal RNA, 253 nt
Filed under: uncultured bacterium
Lineage: Bacteria
Description: partial 16S ribosomal RNA
Rfam family: Bacterial small subunit ribosomal RNA
Source: RNAcentral